GUCUGGGAGCUGCUGAGUGCCCUGUGGAGGUACAUGGCCCAGGAAGCAGGGAGGGGGCACAGGUGUGCAGGGUCAGCCUGACGACCUUGGGUCCUUGCCCACAGGUGGACCCAGGUGCGGGGCUGGCUACGGAAGCUCAGUGCUGUAGUCCAACUGUCCCUUGUGGGCACUGCGACCGUGGCCUUGUUCCUGAUUAGCCUGGUGGGUAGCGCUGCAGGGCUGGGGGAUGGGCUGGGGGCAGGGCAGCCCUGAGAACCUCCCACCUGUCUCCAGGUGCCGUACUCCUACGUGGAGCCCGGGACCCACGGGCGCCUCUGGACCGGGGCCCACCGCUUGUUUGGCGCCGUGGAGCACCUACAGCUGGCCAACUCCUACGGCCUCUUCCGCCGCAUGACCGGGCUUGGUGGACGGCCUGAGGUGGUGCUGGAGGGCAGUUACGACGGCCACCACUGGACGGUGAGCCCUCCCAGGGCGGGCAGGGUGGUGGGGCCCAGGUCAGCAGGCCCAGCUGACCUCGGCUUGCCUGGCAGGAGAUCGAGUUCAUGUACAAGCCUGGGAACCUGAGCCGGCCGCCCCCGGUUGUGGCGCCCCACCAGCCACGCCUGGACUGGCAGAUGUGGUUUGCAGCCCUGGGCCCACACACGCACAGCCCAUGGUUCACAAGUCUGGUCUUGCGCCUGCUGCAGGGCAAGGAGCCAGGUGCAGAGCGGGCUGGGGAGGGGUGGAGUGGGCUGGGGAGGGGUGGAGCGGGGCGGGGAGGGGAGGGUCAGGGUGGGUACUGUGGGGGCCACGCUGACGCCUCUCGCUGCAGUGAUCCGCCUUGUCCAGAGCCAAGUGGCCAGGUAUCCCUUCCACAAGCAGCCGCCCACCUAUGUCCGAGCCCAGCGCUACAAGUACUGGUUCUCCCAGCCUGGGGAGCAGGGCCAGUGGUGGCGGCGCCAGUGGGUGGAGGAGUUCUUCCCGUCCGUGUCCCUGGGGGACCCCACGCUGGAGACGCUGCUCAGGCAGUUUGGACUACAGGAGAAGAGCCCACCUCGCACCCGCAGCGCCAACAGCACCCUGGCCCAGGCCCUCCACUGGACUCGCACUCAGCUGUCUCCCCUGGAGGCCCCCGCCCUGCUCUGGGGGCUCCUCAUGGCCGUGGGGGCUGUCAGAGUUGUGCAGGCCCUGUUAGCACCCUGUUCUCUCUGGUCCUCCCCCCUGGCACCAGUCAGCAGGGAGAAGCGCAGGCCAGCCUCCCAGAAAGACUCUGGAGCUGGCUCCGAACAGGCCACCACAGCCCCCAACCCCUGCUCCAGUAGUUCGAGGACCACCCGGCGAAAGAAGUAGCUGUGUUCUCCCAGCUGCACGUCCUGAGAGGGCCAGGUCGCCGGGAGUGCUCUGGCCUCCGGCAGGACAGGACCCAGCCACUGUGCCUUAGCUGACCCUGCAGGGCCGGGCACAGGUUGGGGGGCUGUCC
Molecule: small RNA, 1459 nt
Filed under: Pan troglodytes (chimpanzee)
Lineage: Eukaryota; Metazoa; Chordata; Mammalia; Primates; Hominidae
Description: retained intron
Source: RNAcentral